RNAcentral lists this non-coding RNA (179 nucleotides) under Pseudomonadota bacterium. RNAcentral's name for it is "Proteobacteria bacterium 6S RNA". It matches the Rfam family "6S / SsrS RNA". From Rfam's summary of the family: E. coli 6S RNA was the first non coding RNA to be sequenced, but its function was unknown until recently. The record is from RNAcentral. Lineage: Bacteria; Pseudomonadati; Pseudomonadota.
UUUUGGGUUUUGUAGAAGUUCAGAAAAAAGAAACCUAAUGAGUUUUUUAUUAGGGGACUGUCCCUGGAGAUGGUGUGCAAGCUUGGCCUUCGGGAUCCGAGAAGCCUAAAGUCUUUAUAAUGGUCACCCACCUUAAAAUUUUCGGUUUCUUGUUCUGUUAACUCUACGAGGCCUUUUCU